GCCAACUUCUGGAACCAUGACAGAUAUGGGAAUCACGAAACAGUAGAGUACAAAGGUGACCAUAGGGGCUACAACCUUUCGCACGAAGAAAAAGCUAUAUAUCACAUGGCACUUCUUCCAUACUGAUACCUCCUUGUUUUUCACUAUCUCCUUCGCCAUUUUUCUGAAUAAGUUUGCAGCUCCACAAGUCCACCUGUGCUGCUGAUAUCGGUAUGCCUUAAAACUACUUGGUAAUUCACUUUUGACCAUAAGGUCUCCAAUGUACACAAAUUUCCAGCCUUUCAAGCUUGCUCGAA
This 296-nucleotide unclassified non-coding RNA is filed under the name Hevea brasiliensis (rubber tree). Lineage: Eukaryota; Viridiplantae; Streptophyta; Magnoliopsida; Malpighiales; Euphorbiaceae. The record is from RNAcentral.